UGCAAAGGCAUGGCAACUGUUAAUAUCAAUUAGUAAAAUGUUUAAAGAGACAUUUGUCUAGGAUCAACACAGUAGAUGGUUUUUCAACUUGAUAUGUUCAAAUAAGGAUAUGAUGAGAACAAGAACUUCUGACCAGUUCUCACUGCUUCAGCCCAGGAUCCUGAACUCUGACCCUCGCAGGUUUUAUGGGAAGGUUCUCCCUUAUCACACUCAACAUAUAAUUCGUGCACGAAGAAGACAACAGAACAGAAAG
Molecule: non-coding RNA, 253 nt
Organism: Chlorocebus sabaeus (green monkey)
Lineage: Eukaryota; Metazoa; Chordata; Mammalia; Primates; Cercopithecidae
Source: RefSeq, a predicted model, not a curated record